GAUGAACGCUGGCGGCGUGCCUAAUACAUGCAAGUCGAGCGAACGGACGAGAAGCUUGCUUCUCUGAUGUUAGCGGCGGACGGGUGAGUAACACGUGAAUAACCUACCUAUAAGACUGGGAUAACUUCGGGAAACCGGAGCUAAUACCGGAUAAUAUUUUGAACCGCAUGGUUCAAAAGUGAAAGACGGUCUUGCUGUCACUUAUAGAUGGAUCCGCGCUGCAUUAGCUAGUUGGUAAGGUAACGGCUUACCAAGGCAACGAUGCAUAGCCGACCUGAGAGGGUGAUCGGCCACACUGGAACUGAGACACGGUCCAGACUCCUACGGGAGGCAGCAGUAGGGAAUCUUCCGCAAAGGGCGAAAGCCUGACGGAGCAACGCCGCGUGAGUGAUGAAGGUCUUCGGAUCGUAAAACUCUGUUAUUAGGGAAGAACAUAUGUGUAAGUAACUGUGCACAUCUUGACGGUACCUAAUCAGAAAGCCACGGCUAACUACGUG
Molecule: ribosomal RNA, 497 nt
Filed under: uncultured bacterium
Lineage: Bacteria
Description: partial 16S ribosomal RNA
Rfam family: Bacterial small subunit ribosomal RNA
Source: RNAcentral